AUACGGAGGGUGCAAGCGUUACUCGGAAUCACUGGGCGUAAAGCGCGCGCAGGCGGGCUGAUAAGUUGGAUGUGAAAGCCUACGGCUCAACCGUAGAACUGCAUCCAAAACUGUCAGGCUAGAGUGUGGGAGAGGAAGAUGGAAUUAGUUGUGUAGGGGUAAAAUCCGUAGAGAUAACUAGGAAUACCAAAAGCGAAGGCAAUCUUCUGGAACACUACUGACGCCGAGGCGCGAAGGCGUGGGGAGCAAACAGGAUUAGAAACCCCAGUAGUCC
Molecule: ribosomal RNA, 274 nt
Filed under: uncultured bacterium
Lineage: Bacteria
Description: partial 16S ribosomal RNA
Rfam family: Bacterial small subunit ribosomal RNA
Source: RNAcentral